Biomphalaria pfeifferi is the source of this 545-nucleotide non-coding RNA. Lineage: Eukaryota; Metazoa; Mollusca; Gastropoda; Planorbidae. The record is from the annotation of a GenBank genome assembly.
AGUUAAUACGGUUUUUCGUUGUGUUGGCCACAUGAUAUCUAUCCUUUAACCGCCGGGCAUAGAAGCAUAGAGUUUUACAUUAUAUGCCCCACGGACCACAGGGUUUGAGAAGGAAACCUUUUAGGCCAACGCAGAAAUGUUGAUACACUUUCAUCCUAAAAACUGAACAGAUUGUGUUUCGUACUCUGUUAUGUUUAUAAUUGAACAUAUAUGUUGAUGGACUUGAGUUAAAUUAAAAAAUAUGGAAUUUAACGUUUCCCAGAAUGUGAAUUAAUUAGUAAUAUUAUUAGUGGUAUUUUUGUGCUACUGCCCGAUUAAAGUUAAACUAUUUUUAUUUGGCCAAUUCAUUUAGUUAAGUAUUCUAUUAUAUAUCUUUGGUCAUAUAUUUACAUGCUACUGUAUAUAUGGUAUGGAUUAUGUGAUUAAUUUUACCUUAACAUUGUGUUAAAUCUUAAUGCCGAAAAAAACAAAGAAAAAAACAACAACGUAGUACUCUUAUAUUAAUGUAGGCUACGACAAGCUACAAACAGCUAGUUUUUUUUUUA